GGAAUAUUGGACAAUGGGCGAAAGCCUGAUCCAGCAAUGCCGCGUGAGUGAUGAAGGCCUUAGGGUUGUAAAGCUCUUUUACUGGGGAUGAUAAUGACAGUACCCAGAGAAUAAGCUCCGGCUAACUCCGUGCCAGCAGCCGCGGUAAUACGGAGGGAGCUAGCGUUGUUCGGAAUUACUGGGCGUAAAGCGCACGUAGGUGGCGACGUAAGUCGGGUGUGAAAGCCCCGGGCUCAACCUGGGAAUUGCAUUCGAGACUGCAUUGCUGGAGUACGGAAGAGGAGGGCAGAAUUCCCGGUGUAGCGGUGAAAUGCGUAGAUAUCGGGAGGAACAUCAGUGGCGAAGGCGGCCCUCUGGUCCAGUACUGACACUCAAGUGCGAAAGCGUGGGGAGCAAA
This 397-nucleotide ribosomal RNA is filed under the name uncultured bacterium. Its description in RNAcentral is "bacterial SSU rRNA". It matches the Rfam family "Bacterial small subunit ribosomal RNA", at positions 358 to 772 of the family's 1533-position model. The record is from RNAcentral.